CUCGGCUCUCGCAUCGAUGAAGAACGUAGCGAAAUGCGAUACUUGGUGUGAAUUGCAGAAUCCCGUGAACCAUCGAGUCUUUGAACGCAAGUUGCGCCCCAAGCCUUCUGGCCGAGGGCACGUCUGCCUGGGUGUCACAAAUCGUCGUCCCCACCCUUUGCGGA
RNAcentral lists this ribosomal RNA (164 nucleotides) under Drabella muralis. RNAcentral describes it as "5.8S ribosomal RNA". The stretch from base 1 to 137 matches the Rfam family "5.8S ribosomal RNA", at positions 20 to 154 of the family's 154-position model. Rfam says of the family: 5.8S ribosomal RNA (5.8S rRNA) is a component of the large subunit of the eukaryotic ribosome. The record is from RNAcentral. Lineage: Eukaryota; Viridiplantae; Streptophyta; Magnoliopsida; Brassicales; Brassicaceae.